RNAcentral lists this ribosomal RNA (301 nucleotides) under uncultured bacterium. RNAcentral describes it as "partial 16S ribosomal RNA". It matches the Rfam family "Bacterial small subunit ribosomal RNA", at positions 509 to 809 of the family's 1533-position model. The record is from RNAcentral.
CAGUCGCCACGGUAAUACGUAGGGUGCGAGCGUUAAUCGGAAUUACUGGGCGUAAAGCGUGCGCAGGCGGUUAUAUAAGACAGAUGUGAAAUCCCCGGGCUCAACCUGGGACCUGCAUUUGUGACUGUAUAGCUAGAGUACGGUAGAGGGGGAUGGAAUUCCGCGUGUAGCAGUGAAAUGCGUAGAUAUGCGGAGGAACACCGAGGGCGAAGGCAAUCCCCUGGACCUGUACUGACGCUCAUGCACGAAAGCGUGGGGAGCAAACAGGAUUAGAUACCCCCGUAGUCCCUGUCUCUUAUAA